GGACAAUUAAAAAAGCAGAUGUUUGAGGAGAAGACUUGAUGAAUGGGGAAUGCUCAAUUCAAGAUGUAAUGAAGGAACUAGAGACCUUGAUUGCGAUGUUGGACAUACCAAAAAAGAUGUGUUCCCUGACACUGAAUAGGUGCACUUCACAGUCACUGGAUCCCCUUCUGUGACAGUGACCUGAUCUUCUGGCGGAGUCAUCGACUGAGCUCUCAGUCCACCUAUAAAUUAAUCCAUAACGCAUCAGAGAAACUGCUGAAAAAGAAUCUCUUCAUGGAUUUCCUGCCUCUGUGUCCUCCAGAGCACAGUAGUAAAUGGCUGCAUCUGCCAUCUGCACCCGGAGGAUAAGCAGUGAUGAAGAGAACCGCUCAUAUGUCAUGUUGUACCGUCCCUGCUGAGAAGGCCUUGAGCCCUUAACAAGGAGUCUUGGUGCACAUCCUGGGAAGUGAAGGUACCAGAAGAAGUCGUAAGCAUUGGAUAAAGAGUGAUUACAGGAGAUUUCUGCCAGAGCACCCUCCGAAGA
This is a long non-coding RNA of Lagenorhynchus albirostris (white-beaked dolphin), 523 nucleotides long. RefSeq lists it as uncharacterized. The transcript is spliced from 3 exons. The record is from RefSeq and is a predicted model, not a curated record. Lineage: Eukaryota; Metazoa; Chordata; Mammalia; Artiodactyla; Delphinidae.